CUAACAACACGAGGCAUCCUAACACCACGAGGCAUCCUAACAACACGAGGCAUCCUAACACCACGAGGCAGCCUAACAACACGAGGCAUCCUAACAACACGAGGCAGCCUAACAAAACAACAAAUAUUCUCACUAUAUUCCCUCCCGGUAGACUAGAACAGACUGUCUGAUAAACAUAUGAACAGCAUGUAUCUCUCUCUCACACACACUAGCAUGGCUGUGUAUCUAUCUGAACAGUGAUCCUAUUGUGAAGAGGUGGUGGAAGACUGAGUCCCUAUAGAGUCUUAUGGGCCCCGGUCAAAAGUAGUGUACUAUAUAGGGCAUAGGGUGCUAUGAAAGAGGCAGACGAACAGUGGUCUGACACCAGACACCGCCUCAGGCCUCUCUGUGCUGCUGCAGGACCCAACAUCUGCUGCCUGGUCUGGGAUAAUGCAAAAUGUUCAUCUCUCAUGCCCUUUCUACACAAAUACACACGCAAGCACACACACACACACAAUAAUCUCUCAUGUCCUUUCUCCUGAGGACUGGGCCAUGCCAGAGCAGUGACCUGCCUCUAACUCUCCCAGGCAACACAUCAGAUGGUACACUACACUACACACACACACACACACACACACACACACACACACACACACACACACACACACACACACUGGUUGUGACUUGGGGGUAGAAAGAGAAACACACAUUAAAACAGAUGUGGUCUCCACAAAGCCAAUGUUGUUGGGAUGUUACAGACAGUCAGGUGUGGUCUCCACAAUGCCAGUGUUGUUGGGAUAUUACAGACAGUCAGGUGUGGUCUCCACAAAGCCAGUGUUGUUGGGAUAUUACGGACAGUCAGGUGUGGUCUCCACAAAGCCAAUGUUGUUGGGAUGUUACAGACAGUCAGGUGUGGUCUCCACAAUGCCAGUGUUGUUGGGAUAUUACAGACAGUCAGGUGUGGUCUCCACAAUGCCAGUGUUGUUGGGAUAUUACGGACAGUCAGGUGUGGUCUCCACAAUGCCAGUGUUGUUGGGAUAUUACGGACAGUCAGGUGUGGUCUCCACAAUGCCAGUGUUGUUGGUAUAUUACGGACACUCAGGUGUGGUCUCCACAAUGCCAGUGUUGUUGGUAUAUUAUGGACACUCAGGUGUGGUCUCCACAAUGCCAGUGUUGUUGGUAUAUUAUGGACACUCAGGUGUGGUCUCCACAAUGCCAGUGUUGUUGGUAUAUUAUGGACACUCAGGUGUGGUCUCCACAAUGCCAGUGUUGUUGGUAUAUUACGGACACUCACUUGACAACUGCUUUUCAGAAACUGCUGAACAUUAAGGAAGCUACUGGUUGGCUGGAAAGUUACAUUUGAUACACACAGGACAGUGAGUGCAGGGUCCAGUAAUGUCUGCCUGUCCGUUCGAGGCCUCAGUAAAACCCAUUAAAUAUGACUAUGAACCUAUAUGACUGUGACCCUGUAUGACAACAAGCCUACAUAACUACGACUCUACAUAACUAAGACCCUACAUAACUACGACUCUACAUAACUACGACUCUACAUAACUACGACUCUACAUAACUACGACCCUACAUAACUACGACUCUACAUAACUACGACUCUACAUAACUACGACCCUACAUAACUACGACCCUACAUAACUACGACCCUACGUAACUACGACCCUACGUAACUACGACCCUACGUAACUACGACUCUACGUAACUACGACUCUACGUAACUACGACUCUACGUAACUACGACUCUACAUAACUACGACCCUACAUAACUACGACUCUACAUAACUACGACUCUACAUAACUAAGACCCUACGUGACUACGACUCUACAUGACUACGACCCUACGUGACUACGACUCUACAUAACUACGACUCUACAUAACUACGACUCUACAUAACUACGACCCUACAUAACUACGACUCUACGUGACUACGACUCUACAUAACUAAGACCCUACGUGACUACGACUCUACAUAACUACAACCCUACGUGACUACGACCCUACAUAACUACGACCCUACAUAACUACGACCCUACAUAACUACGACCCUACAUAACUACGACUCUACAUAACUACGACUCUACAUAACUACGACUCUACGUGACUACGACCCUACGUGACUAUGACUCUACAUAACUACGACUCUACGUGAAUAUGACUCUACACAACUAAGACCCUACGUGAAUACGACCCUACGUGACAACGACCCUACGUGACUACGACCCUACGUGACUACGACCCUACGUGAAUAUGACCCUAUGUGACUGUGACUCUACGUGACUAUGAUCCUACGUGACUACGACCCUACGUGACUACGACCCUACGUGACUACGACCCUACGUGACUACGACCCUACGUGAAUAUGACCCUAUGUGACUGUGACUCUACGUGACUAUGAUCCUACGUGACUACGACCCUACGUGACUACGACCCUACGUGACUACGACCCUACGUGAAUAUGACCCUACGUGACUACGACCCUACGUGACUAUGAUCCUACGAGUCUACAUAAAUACGACCCUACAUGACUACAACGCUACGUGACAACGAAUCUGAUGUCUUUUAUUCCAACAGGGCAUCAUCUCUGAUCCUCUCUGUUCCUCUGUCAAGGCCGUCUCUCAGGACAUCCUCUCUGUUCCUCUGUCAAGGCCGUCUCUCAGGACAUCCUCUCUGUUCCUCUGUCAAGGCCGUCUCUAUCAGGACAUCCUCUCUGUUCCUCUGUCAAGGCCGUCUCUCUCAGGACAUCCUCUCUGUUCCUCUGUCAAGGCCGUCUCUCCUCUCUGUUCCUCUGUCAAGGCCGUCUCUCAGGACAUCCUCUCUGUUCCUCUGUCAAGGCUGUCUCUCCUCUCUGUUCCUCUGUCAAGGCCGUCUCUCUCAGGACAUCCUCUCUGGUCCUCUGUCAAGGCCGUCUCUCCUCUCUGUUCCUCUGUCAAGGCCGUCUCUCAGGACAUCCUCUCUGUUCCUCUGUCAAGGCCGUCUCUCCUCUCUGUUCCUCUGUCAAGGCCGUCUCUCUCAGGACAUCCUCUCUGUUCCUCUGUCAAGGCCGUCUCUCAGGACAUUCUCUCUGUUCCUCUGUCAAGGCUGUCUCUCCUCUCUGUUCCUCUGUCAAGGCCGUCUCUCUCAGGACAUCCUCUCUGUUCCUCUGUCAAGGCCGUCUCUCAGGACAUCCUCUCUGUUCCUCUGUCAAGGCCGUCUCUCCUCUCUGUUCCUCUGUCAAGGCCGUCUCUCUCAGGACAUCCUCUCUGUUCCUCUGUCAAGGCCGUCUCUCAGGACAUCCUCUCUGUUCCUCUGUCAAGGCCGUCUCUCUCAGGACAUCCUCUCUGUUCCUCUGUCAAGGCCGUCUCUCAGGACAUCCUCUCUGUUCCUCUGUCAAGGCUGUCUCUCAGGACAUCCUCUCUGUUCCUCUGUCCAGGCCGUCUCUCAGGACAUCCUCUCUGGUCCUCUGUCAAGGCUGUCUCUCAGGACAUCCUCUCUGUUCCUCUGUCAAGGCCGUCUCUCAGGACAUCCUCUCUGUUCCUCUGUCAAGGCUGUCUCUCAGGACAUCCUCUCUGGUCCUCUGUCAAGGCUGUCUCUCAGGACAUCCUCUCUGUUCCUCUGUCAAGGCCGUCUCUCUCAGGACAUCCUCUCUGUUCCUCUGUCAAGGCCGUCUCUCUCCUAAGUGCACUUUCCCUCCUAACCCGACUUGCGCUUUGGAAUUGAUUGAAACAAAAUGUCACAAAUAUGGCCUGUAGCUCCGAGCCGUCCUUCUGCGCACGGCCUUAAUUAUUCAUCAAUUAGUUGUCUUUAUUUAUUUAUUUUUGCAGAGAUGUAUGGUUCCCCUGCUCUACAUCAGUCCAAAGUCAUUCAUUUCUGGGUUUGCAAUUAAACCUUAUGCAUCAUUUAUGAGCCAGACCCAACUCUGUCUGUCUGUCUGUCUGUCUGUAGACACCGCAACAAGCUGAGGUCCCUGUACUCUGGAGGGAACGAGGAUAAAUUAAUUCAGAGGAAUUAAGUUCUCUCUCUCUCAGGUUGGAAUGAACAGAUGCCAUCGGCCUGAGAGAGAGAAUGGAGAUAGAUAGAUCACCGUACGCCGAGAAUGACAACAAUAGGAGAGGAUAGAAACACUCAGUGAACAAAUGAAAAAUGUACAAAUCUAGAAAACAUGUAUAAAGUAUUCAAAUAUAU
This 4153-nucleotide long non-coding RNA is filed under the name Salmo salar (Atlantic salmon). Its description in RNAcentral is "lncRNA (ENSSSAG00000084267.1)". Lineage: Eukaryota; Metazoa; Chordata; Actinopteri; Salmoniformes; Salmonidae. The record is from RNAcentral.